UACGGAGGGUCCAAGCGUUAUCCGGAUUUAUUGGGUUUAAAGGGUCCGUAGGCGGGGACUUAAGUCAGUGGUGAAAUCCUACAGCUCAACUGUAGCACUGCCAUUGAAACUGAGUUUCUUGAAUAUGAUUGAGGUAGGCGGAAUACGUCAUGUAGCGGUGAAAUGCUUAGAUAUGCCGUAGAACACCGAUAGCGAAGGCAGCUUACCAAGUCAUUAUUGACGCUGAUGGACGAAAGCGUGGGUAGCGAACAGG
RNAcentral lists this ribosomal RNA (253 nucleotides) under uncultured bacterium. Its description in RNAcentral is "partial 16S ribosomal RNA". It matches the Rfam family "Bacterial small subunit ribosomal RNA", at positions 524 to 776 of the family's 1533-position model. The record is from RNAcentral.